AGAGGUGCGUAUCGGAUUACUGGGCGUAAGCGUGCGCAGGCGGUUUUGUAAGUCUGUCGUGAAAGCCCCGGGCUCAACCUGGGAAUUGCGAUGGAGACUGCAAGGCUUGAAUCUGGCAGAGGGGGGUAGAAUUCCACGUGUAGCAGUGAAAUGCGUAGAGAUGUGGAGGAACACCGAUGGCGAAGGCAGCCCCCUGGGUCAAGAUUGACGCUCAUGCACGAAAGCGUGGGGAGCAAACAGGAUUAGAUACCCUGGUAGUCCACGCCCUAAACGAUGUCUACUAGUUGUCGGGUUUUAAUUAACUUGGUAACGCAGCUAACGCGUGAAGUAGACCGCCUGGGGAGUACGGUCGCAAGAUUAAAACUCAAAGGAAUUGACGGGGACCCGCACAAGCGGUGGAUGAUGUGGAUUAAUUCGAUGCAACGCGAAAAACCUUACCUACCCUUGACAUGUCAGGAACCUCCGAGAGAUCGGGGGGUGCCCGAAAGGGAACCUGAACACAGGUGCUGCAUGGCUGUCGUCAGCUCGUGUCGUGAGAUGUUGGGUUAAGUCCCGCAACGAGCGCAACCCUUGUCAUUAGUUGCUACAUUCAGUUGAGCACUCUAAUGAGACUGCCGGUGACAAACCGGAGGAAGGUGGGGAUGACGUCAAGUCCUCAUGGCCCUUAUGGGUUGGGCUUCACACGUCAUACAAUGGUACAUACAGAGGGCCGCCAACCCGCGAGGGGGAGCUAAUCCCAGAAAGUGUAUCGUAGUCCGGAUCGCAGUCUGCAACUCGACUGCGUGAAGUUGGAAUCGCUAGUAAUCGCGGAUCAGCAUGUCGCGGUGAAUACGUUCCCGGGUCUUGUACACACCGCCCGUCACACCAUGGGAGCGGGUUUUACCAGAAGUAGGUAGCUUAACCGCAAGGAGGGCGCUUACCACGGUAGGAUUCGUGACUGGGGUG
RNAcentral lists this ribosomal RNA (945 nucleotides) under uncultured bacterium. RNAcentral's name for it is "bacterial SSU rRNA". It matches the Rfam family "Bacterial small subunit ribosomal RNA", at positions 534 to 1482 of the family's 1533-position model. The record is from RNAcentral.